RNAcentral lists this long non-coding RNA (759 nucleotides) under Homo sapiens (human). Its description in RNAcentral is "HSALNT0340482". Lineage: Eukaryota; Metazoa; Chordata; Mammalia; Primates; Hominidae. The record is from RNAcentral.
CCUGCAGUACUUUAAGCCUCACUGCCAAUUUACAGAGCACAGAAUAAAACAGAAGAGAAUAAAAUGAUAUGGGUUGCAGCUUCCCAGUUGUAACGAGCAAAAGGAUAGGAGCCUCAGACUCUUAGUUCUGAACCCUGCCUGGGUUCCUCCCCAGCUCUGUGACUUUGACCAAGUUAUUUGAUGUCAUGAGCUUCAAUUUCCUCAUAUACAAGUAGAAAACACUUGAAAUUUCAACAAUGUACAGCAGGUUGUCAGAUUUAGCAGGUAUCCAAAGGAAUUGUGAAACUUCACUGAAGCGAAUGCUCUGUUCUUUUAUCCAUGAGGGGCCAUUUCUGGUGACCUACUUAUACAUUUGGGAUGUGUUAUAGAAUGAAUGCCAACUGGCCUGCCGACCAAGCUGGAAGAUACACACACCCAGAGGACUCUAUGGUAGCACUGGGCAUAAAAAACAUGCCUCCUGGAAGUGUGCCUGCCAGCAUUCUCCGGUUAUUUUAUAAGACAUGGCCUUUCUUGAAUGUAUCUACAGUUCAGAGAAAAUUCAGCCUGCAACUGGAACCCUGAAUUCACUCAGGAAAUGUGGCAGUAAUAUGUGAGACAUAUUUCUGGUUCUGAGCCAGCCUCGUAGGCACAGUAACACCAGGGACUUAAGGUUGAAAAUGUGGUUUCAAUAAGAAUGUUCUCAAGGAAAUGUGUGUAUUGGAGAUAAUUUAGAUCUACGUGGAGACUUGCACAGACCUCUACAAAGCCCUAGGAAGAAUA